GACGAACGCUGGCGGCGUGCUUAACACAUGCAAGUUGAACGGAAAGGCCCUGCUUUUGUGGGGUGCUCGAGUGGCGAACGGGUGAGUAACACGUGAGUAACCUGCCCUUGACUUUGGGAUAACUUCAGGAAACUGGGGCUAAUACCGGAUAGGAGCUCCUGCUGCAUGGUGGGGGUUGGAAAGUUUCGGCGGUUGGGGAUGGACUCGCGGCUUAUCAGCUUGUUGGUGGGGUAGUGGCUUACCAAGGCUUUGACGGGUAGCCGGCCUGAGAGGGUGACCGGCCACAUUGAGACUGAGAUACGGCCCAGACGCCUACGGGAGGCAGCAGUGGGGAAUAUUGCACAAUGGGCGGAAGCCGGAUGCAGCAACGCCGCGUGCGGGAUGACGGCCUUCGGGUUGUAAACCGCUUUCGCCUGUGACGAAGCGUGAGUGACGGUAAUGGGUAAAGAAGCACCGGCUAACUACGUG
Molecule: ribosomal RNA, 468 nt
Filed under: uncultured bacterium
Lineage: Bacteria
Description: partial 16S ribosomal RNA
Rfam family: Bacterial small subunit ribosomal RNA
Source: RNAcentral